UACGGAGGGUGCAAGCGUUAUCCGGAUUCACUGGGUUUAAAGGGUGCGUAGGAGGGCAGGUAAGUCAGUGGUGAAAUCCCCGAGCUUAACUUGGGAACUGCCGUUGAUACUAUCUGUCUUGAAUACCGUGGAGGUGAGCGGAAUAUGUCAUGUAGCGGUGAAAUGCUUAGAUAUGACAUAGAACACCAAUUGCGAAGGCAGCUCGCUACACGAAUAUUGACGCUGAGGUGCGAAAGCGUGGGGAGCAAACAGG
RNAcentral lists this ribosomal RNA (253 nucleotides) under uncultured bacterium. Its description in RNAcentral is "partial 16S ribosomal RNA". It matches the Rfam family "Bacterial small subunit ribosomal RNA", at positions 524 to 776 of the family's 1533-position model. The record is from RNAcentral.